Molecule: long non-coding RNA, 5176 nt
Filed under: Nicotiana benthamiana
Lineage: Eukaryota; Viridiplantae; Streptophyta; Magnoliopsida; Solanales; Solanaceae
Description: long non-coding RNA (NBEN_LNC034612)
Source: RNAcentral
UUAAAGACAUUGUAUCAAUAUAUAUUGUUUUUAGUUUUUUCAAAAAACUGUAUAGACUUUUUAUUGCUAAUGACGUUAAGUGUUUUAAUUAUGAUUUAGUUUGACCAAAGGUUUUAACUAAGAUAUGUUUACACAGUAUAUUUGGGUUUUUUUGUUUAUUUUAACUACAAUGGUUUUUUUUUGACAUUUACAUACAGCUUCUGGAUCUAAUCUAACAAUAGAUAUGUAUGGUAACUGUUAACAGCAUACGAUCUGUUAAUACUUGUAUGUGUAUUGGAUUCUGAAACUUGGAUCUUAUUGUGUUUGAAUGUUGUGUAGAGCAAUUUCUAUGGGUAAGAGCUAUCCCACCGUGAGCGAGGAGUACCUCAAGGCUGUUGACAAAUGCAAGAGGAAACUCAGAGGACUCAUUGCUGAAAAGAAUUGCGCACCUCUUAUGCUCCGUCUUGCGUAUGUUCUCUUCAAUUAAUUUCUUGCUUUAAACAGAACAAAAGAAGCUAUCAAAUUUCUCAAUUAAUAAAAGAAAAGGAAUUUCUCCUCCAUGGGGCACAGUGUUUAAUAUGCUAAUUUGACAUAAGUGUAGGAUUAUGGCUUGAAUAAUGGCUGAAUGGUUAGUUUGAUGUUGAAAACAUGGGAUCAAAUAGUUUAGCGAAUUUUAUUUUUCAGAGAUUUGUAUAUUAAAGGGGGAAUGGUUUGACACAGUUUGGAAUAGUUGAAAUAGGAAGUGUCCUGUAAAUUGGAAUGAUGGAAGUUUUUUUUAUCCUAGAGAAGUUUUCCUAGGAAAAAAGAAAAUUUCUUUUGUGGCUCUCAAAAUAUUUUCUGUUUGUCUCAGAUGGCACUCUGCUGGUACCUAUGAUGUGUGCUCCAAAACUGGAGGUCCAUUUGGUACCAUGAGGUUCAAGGCUGAGCAAGGACAUGGAGCAAACAAUGGUAUUGACAUUGCUAUCAGACUCUUGGAGCCCAUCAAGGAGCAGUUUCCUAUCCUCUCAUAUGGUGAUUUCUAUCAAGUAUGUAUUCUUGUGUUGAUUGUUAGGUUUGGUAUUUUACGUAUUUUAUUUGCUAAAUCAAAGUGCAGAAAUGACUUGUUAUUUUUUUCUUUGUGUAGUUAGCUGGGGUUGUAGCUGUUGAAGUUACUGGAGGACCUGAUGUUCCCUUUCACCCUGGUAGAGAGGUUGGUGAGACUGUCUCUGCAGCCUUUAGCAAUUUUAUUUGACAAUUGUAAUAAAUGGUACUUUAUUCAACUUGAGGCCUUAUUAGCAAGGAAUUAAUGAGAGCCUUUAUCCAGAUUUUACACUUUUGGCAAAAAAUCUUUGCCAAUAUUCUUAGUGAAAUAUUGCCUUAUUGAUAAUGGCUAACCAAGACAUUAUGACAUGCAUAUGCUUCACUAGUGAUAAGGGUAUGUGUAAAGAACUUCCUGCAUUGAUUUCUAGUUUGAUUAUUCCUACACUCUUUUCUUCCUUUUCCUGCUCAAUUAUGAAAUACUUGGUGUUACUUGUAUCUUCAAAUGUGGCCAUGUUCAUCGCUCUUAACUAAGGAAUUCCAAGUCAUAUAUAUACCAACUAGAUGCUAAUUUAUGUUCAUUGAUAAUUGGUGGUCCAUGAGUCAGCUUGUGCACAUCAAUCCUAAUUUUCUGUUGGUUCUGUGGCUAAAAUCCAUAUUGUUUGUAUAUUUUGAUGCCUUAUGAUUCAUCAUGUUUGUGGUGGUCUGUUUGCGACUUUAUUGUGCCAAUCUUAAAAUUGUUUAUUUUGGCAAGAUCUGGACCUAACUAGAUUUCUAUCUUUAAUAUUCCAUUAACAGGACAAGACAGAGCCACCAGUUGAAGGUCGUUUGCCUGAUGCCACCAAGGGUAAGUUCAUACUUUGAGAGUUGUCUUUACAGAUUUAUACAGCACAAUUUGACUGCGAAACAGAAUGAAAAAGGAGCUUAAAAUUUAUUGUGAUUUGCCUUCCUCGAUAAUCAUCUGUCAACCUAAUGCAGGUUCUGACCACUUGAGAGAUGUGUUUGUGAAGCAAAUGGGUCUAUCUGACAAGGAUAUUGUUGCACUCUCUGGUGGACAUACCUUGGUUUGUAGCCUGCUUUUAUUCUGUUUAAACCUACUUGUCUUGAGCAGACAAGCUUCUGUUGUUAAGUAGUUAUUUCUUAUUGCAAUUUGCUCCAGGGAAGGUGCCACAAGGAACGUUCUGGUUUCGAGGGACCUUGGACUACCAAUCCCCUCAUCUUUGACAACUCAUACUUUACGUAAGACUACCAUCAGUAUGUUUAUUUUUUCAGCUCUCAAUUUUUGUGGAAUACCGUGGUACUGCAAGCUAUUAUCUGUCGAUCUUGCUUAUGGGACAUAAUUGCUAUUGCAGGGAACUUUUGAGUGGGGAGAAAGAAGGGCUUUUGCAGUUGCCUUCAGACAAGGCUCUCCUCUCUGAUCCUGCUUUCCGCCCCCUUGUUGAGAAAUAUGCUGCGGUCAGUAUAUAUAAACUGUAAAUUUGUUUCAUUUAUAGUUGAAAACACCUGCUCCAUGACUGAUAGGAGCAACUCUUUGCUUAUAUCAGGAUGAAGAUGCCUUCUUUGCCGACUAUGCUGAGGCUCACUUGAAGCUCUCUGAGUUGGGGUAAGCAUAUAGUUAAAUUGAAUAUUCAUUGAUGAAUCUGCUUAGAAGAUGUAGUCUUCUAUGUGUCUCACUUAUCAUUUGUUAUUUAAUGCCAGAUUUGCUGAAGCUUAAGCUUGUGAUAGGAAGAGUUGGAGGGCUGGCAUAACCUUGUUCAUGUUUCACUCUUGAAGAUAUUUUCUGUUUGUCUCAGAUGGCACUCUGCUGGUACCUAUGAUGUGUGCUCCAAAACUGGUUCACUCUUGAAGACAAGCUUUUGGUGGAAUUGUUGGUUUUAGUCUUCUUUUGCUCCUUAUACUAGGAUUUGUAUUUGGCAGCUGUUAUUAGACGAUGAUGCUGUCACUCUCUUCCAGCUAAAUAAGAUAAAGACUUCUAUUCCUUUUUUGUAGUUUAUCUGUGUCUGAAAGAUGGCAGCCUUAGAUUGAAACCCAAAAGCAUUAUAUUUGGUGGCCAGUCCAAUGACCAAACAAUUUACAAGAUGGUGCUAUUUACUACCGUUGGAAGCAAAUUCUUGUAAUAAUUUAGAAAGAGAAAUAGAACUUAAAUUAUCAACAUAAAAGCAGUUCAAGCCGAAUUCGUUGUACUAAGACGAGAGUUCAUUGAUAGCAGCAGGUAGCAUUUCUACGCGCGCCGUGCUAGUGCACCUGCUGAUCUUCCUACAAUCUUUGGCACAAGUAUCGAAAGAAGUUUAUUUAUUUAUUGUUCGAAUGGGCCUGUUGUGUUCACGACUUCCAAGCUAUUUCCUGCUUCCUUCCAGUACCUCGCGUAUCUCGCAAAACAAAAGAAGGUAUUAGCUCGACAAAGCUCAAUUUGACGCUACAAGUCAGUGAUGUUCAUGAAAAAUAUGUGAAACAAUUGAAAGUAAAGAAAAGAUUACCUCCAAAAUAUAAACAAAAAGAUCAUACAGUGUGAGUAAAUGUCUUGGUUGCCUUUGCAGCUGUCUUAACUUCAUAAGAGAGAAAAAGAAGGGGAAGAGUCUUCCAGGCAUAAUAUACCGACCUGUUGUCUUUAAUAAUCCUAAUGUGACAUUAAAAAAAUGAAUGUUUACAUUCCUUAUCCAUAUAAUAAACUAUAUUACUCUCCAGGCUUAACUUUUAAUAUAAUUACUUUUUAUAUACCUAAUUAUUAUUUAUGCACAGUUUUAGAAUUUUAAUGGUAUUAGUCAGUCUCCUAAUUUUACUUAACUGUAUAUUCCCACUUCCCCCAAGUUUCUGUUUCCAAAUUUCACCCCUUCACUCGCAUAUCAAAUCACACAUCACGAUUUCCUCUUCAAUCAUCCAUAUUUCUUCUUCUAAAACUAGCGAAAAUCCGUAGUCUCUCCAUUAACGCCUAUUCUCAAGCUCUUUCUUCUAAAAUCAGUCAAAACUUCAACUAUUCCUUAAAGUUUAUUCACCCAUUAACGACAAGCUUCAAAGAUUUUCAAUGAAGAAAAACAAAGCUUUCAAAAAAUCCCUAAAAAAGUUAAAGAAGCAGAUGUUCCUUCUUUCGAUUUGGGUGUUUUAUCACCACAUUCACCGAAAAAGUAUGAAAAAUCUGCUCAUGCAAAUGAAGAGAAGAAGCAUGGCUUUCCUCUCGUCAAGUUAAAGCAGAAGCUAGAACUAAACAAAAACAUGAUUUUGAUGCUGGUGAAUCUUCGAGGCAAAUCAAUUCAGCGAAAAGAAAAGGCAAAGUGAUAGAUUUUGAUGAUGAUUUUGUAGAAGAUGAAGAUGUCAUUAAACUUGCAAAGAAAGUUAAAGUGUCUCCUACUGUAAAAGCUCCAAAAAAGAGCUCCCAAUGUAAAAUCUCCUAAAAAUAUUCAACAACAUUCAUUGGUGAAAGUAAGAAUUUAGUAAUUUCAACCAAUAGUUCUUUUUGUUUGUUUUAAUUCUUAAAAAUCUUCGUAAUCUGCGUUUUUUGUUGUUUGUAGAUUAUUUAUCUAUAUUGUGAAGAUUAGUUAUAGUUUCCUGAAUCUGUUUAAACUUGUAGAUAUAUUGUUAGAAAAUUAUAGUUAUGUUCUUUUUGUUUUUAAUUGUAUUAAGUAGUUGUAGAUAUUAUAUGUGUAUAUAUAUAUAUAUAUAUAUAUAUAUAUAUAUAUAUUGUAUCAAUAUAUAUUGUUUUUAGUUUUUUCAAAAAACUGUAUAGACUUUUUAUUGCUAAUGACGUUAAGUGUUUUAAUUAUGAUUUAGUUUGACCAAAGGUUUUAACUAAGAUAUGUUUACACAGUAUAUUUGGGUUUUUUUGUUUAUUUUAACUACAAUGGUUUUUUUUUGACAUUUACAUACAGCUUCUGGAUCUAAUCUAACAAUAGAUAUGUAUGGUAACUGUUAACAGCAUACGAUCUGUUAAUACUUGUAUGUGUAUUGGAUUCUGAAACUUGGAUCUUAUUGUGUUUGAAUGUUGUGUAGAGCAAUUUCUAUGGGUAAGAGCUAUCCCACCGUGAGCGAGGAGUACCUCAAGGCUGUUGACAAAUGCAAGAGGAAACUCAGAGGACUCAUUGCUGAAAAGAAUUGCGCACCUCUUAUGCUCCGUCUUGCGUAUGUUCUCUUCAAUUAAUUUCUUGCUUUAAACAGAACAAAAGAAGCUAUCAAAUUUCUCAAUUAA